ACGUCCUUAGUUCAGUUGGUAGAACGUAGGUUUCCAAAACCUAAUGUCGAGGGUUCAAGUCCUUCAGGACGUG
This 73-nucleotide transfer RNA is filed under the name Erythrocladia irregularis. Its description in RNAcentral is "tRNA-Trp". It matches the Rfam family "tRNA". Rfam says of the family: Transfer RNA (tRNA) molecules are approximately 80 nucleotides in length. Their secondary structure includes four short double-helical elements and three loops (D, anti-codon, and T loops). Further hydrogen bonds mediate the characteristic L-shaped molecular structure. tRNAs have two regions of fundamental functional importance: the anti-codon, which is responsible for specific mRNA codon recognition, and the 3' end, to which the tRNAs corresponding amino acid is attached (by aminoacyl-tRNA synthetases). tRNAs cope with the degeneracy of the genetic code in two manners: having more than one tRNA (with a specific anti-codon) for a particular amino acid; and 'wobble' base-pairing, i.e. permitting non-standard base-pairing at the 3rd anti-codon position. Lineage: Eukaryota; Rhodophyta; Compsopogonophyceae; Erythropeltidales; Erythrotrichiaceae. The record is from RNAcentral.